RNAcentral lists this transfer RNA (72 nucleotides) under Bacteroidota bacterium. RNAcentral describes it as "tRNA-Thr". It matches the Rfam family "tRNA". From Rfam's summary of the family: Transfer RNA (tRNA) molecules are approximately 80 nucleotides in length. Their secondary structure includes four short double-helical elements and three loops (D, anti-codon, and T loops). Lineage: Bacteria; Pseudomonadati; Bacteroidota. The record is from RNAcentral.
GCCUCUUUAGCUCAGCGGUAGAGCAGCUGUUUCGUAAACAGCAGGUCGGGGGUUCAAAUCCCCUGAGAGGCU